This 253-nucleotide ribosomal RNA is filed under the name uncultured bacterium. RNAcentral describes it as "partial 16S ribosomal RNA". It matches the Rfam family "Bacterial small subunit ribosomal RNA", at positions 524 to 776 of the family's 1533-position model. The record is from RNAcentral.
UACGUAGGGUGCGAGCGUUGUCCGGAAUUAUUGGGCGUAAAGAGCUCGUAGGCGGUUUGUCGCGUCUGCUGUGAAAUCUGGGGGCUCAACCCCCAGCCUGCAGUGGGUACGGGCAGACUAGAGUGCGGUAGGGGAGAUUGGAAUUCCUGGUGUAGCGGUGGAAUGCGCAGAUAUCAGGAGGAACACCGAUGGCGAAGGCAGAUCUCUGGGCCGUAACUGACGCUGAGGAGCGAAAGCAUGGGGAGCGAACAGG